Molecule: transfer RNA, 65 nt
Filed under: Cherax destructor
Lineage: Eukaryota; Metazoa; Arthropoda; Malacostraca; Decapoda; Parastacidae
Description: tRNA-Asn
Source: RNAcentral
CUUGAUGGAAGCCAAAAAGAGGCUUAUCACUGUUAAUGAUAGAACUGAGUUUCCCUUCCCAUCAA